GAUGAACGCUAGCGGCAGGCUUAACACAUGCAAGUCGAGGGGUAACAGGGAGCUUGCUCUGCUGACGACCGGCAAACGGGUGCGGAACACGUACGCAACCUUCCUUGAAGCGGGGAAUAGCCUCUCGAAAGAGAGAUUAAUACCCCAUAGUAUCUUUGUCUCACAUGAGAUGAAGAUUAAAGCUCCGGCACUUCGAGAUGGGCGUGCGGCUGAUUAGGUAGUUGGUAGGGUAACGGCCUACCAAGCCGACGAUCAGUAGCUGAUGUGAGAGCAUGAUCAGCCACACGGGCACUGAGACACGGGCCCGACUCCUACGGGAGCAGCAGUGAGGAAUAUUGGUCAAUGGAGGAAACUCUGAACCAGCCAUGCCGCGUGAAGGAUGAAGGUCCUCUGGAUUGUAAACUUCUUUUAUAGAAGAAGAAACCCCAGUAUUCUUACUGGGUUGACGGUACUCUAUGAAUAAGCACCGGCUAACUCCGUGCCAG
RNAcentral lists this ribosomal RNA (485 nucleotides) under uncultured bacterium. RNAcentral describes it as "bacterial SSU rRNA". It matches the Rfam family "Bacterial small subunit ribosomal RNA", at positions 28 to 511 of the family's 1533-position model. The record is from RNAcentral.